RNAcentral lists this ribosomal RNA (434 nucleotides) under uncultured Lachnospiraceae bacterium. Its description in RNAcentral is "partial 16S ribosomal RNA". It matches the Rfam family "Bacterial small subunit ribosomal RNA", at positions 341 to 792 of the family's 1533-position model. Lineage: Bacteria; Bacillati; Bacillota; Clostridia; Lachnospirales; Lachnospiraceae. The record is from RNAcentral.
ACGGAAGGCAGCAGUGGGGAAUAUUGCACAAUGGGCGCAAGCCUGAUGCAGCGACGCCGCGUGAGCGAAGAAGUAUUUCGGUAUGUAAAGCUCUAUCAGCAGGGAAGAAAAUGACGGUACCUGACUAAGAAGCUCCGGCUAAAUACGUGCCAGCAGCCGCGGUAGUACGUAUGGAGCAAGCGUUAUCCGGAUUUACUGGGUGUAAAGGGAGCGUAGACGGAACAGCAAGUCUGAUGUGAAAGGCAGGGGCUCAACUCCUGGACUGCAUUGGAAACUGUUGAUCUUGAGUGCCGGAGAGGUAAGCGGAAUUCCUAGUGUAGCGGUGAAAUGCGUAGAUAUUAGGAGGAACACCAGUGGCGAAGGCGGCUUACUGGACGGUAACUGACGUUGAGGCUCGAAAGCGUGGGGAGCAAACAGGAUUAGAUACCCUGGUA